RNAcentral lists this long non-coding RNA (1381 nucleotides) under Marmota monax (woodchuck). The stretch from base 682 to 753 matches the Rfam family "tRNA". The record is from RNAcentral. Lineage: Eukaryota; Metazoa; Chordata; Mammalia; Rodentia; Sciuridae.
AGUUACCCUGUCAAGAUGGUAGCAUGUGAUGGCACGUGCCUGUAAUCCCAGCAGCUUGAGAGGGUGAGGCAGGAGGAUCACAAAUUUAAAGCCAGCUUCAGCAAAAGCAAGGUGCUAAGCAACUGAGUGAGACCCAGUCUCUAAAUAAAAUACAAAAUAGGGCUGGGAAUGUGGCUCAGUGUUUGAGUGCCCCUGAGUUCAAUCCCCAGUACCCCAAAAAACAAAAAAUGGUAGCACUUUCCUUCUAGUUUCUGAGAACAAAAAGUUUAAAAUGCCUUGGUGAUAGCUGUGGCUUGCAGUUCUGACCAUGUCCUUGUUGUGUCUCCUGCCAAAAGUAUACUCCCCUUCAGGACCAGACCUUUAACCUUGCAGGCAUAAAGUCAUAGGAUUGGAAAUAUCUGAGUGGGUCAUUGGGAGUGAUAAUAAGUAGGGUCACUCGGCUUUCAUUUUUUUUUGCCCCGAGGGAGCAAUACUUCAAAAAGAUUGAUUUAGUGCAUAUAUUCUGUCCUGAAGGAUAGUCCCCAUCUUUGCAGAUUCCUCCAAGAUAGUGAUUCAACUGUAGGCUGUUCAGGGGCUCUCUUGUGAGGAUGUGCUGCUCACUUUUUUAGGAUGGCAGGGCCCUGAUAUAAUUUACUUAAUGGGAUGACACUGGUGGUUGUCUUUAAGAAACAGUACCAGGCUUGGGUUGUGGCUCAGUGGUAGAGUGCUCACCUAACACAUGUGAGGCCCUGGGUUCGAUCCUCAGCACCACAUAAAAAUAAAUAAAAUAAGGGUAUUAUGUCCAACUACAACUAAAAAAAUAAAUAUUAAAAAAAAAAAAAAAGGGCUGGGAUUGUGACUUGGCAGUAGAGCGCUUGCCUAGUAUGCGUGGGGCCCUGGGUUUGAUCCUCAGCACCACAUAUAAAUAAAUGAAUGGAAUAAAGGUAUUGUGUCCACUUACAACUAAAAAAAUAAAUAUUAAAAAAAAAGAAAUAGUACCAUAAUAAGGUACUGUUAUUCUUGCUGGGUACCACCUGUUGGCUGGUUAGACUUGGAGGGGUAGGAACUAUUCUGGAAGUCUUCCAGUUUUUCUUAUUUGUAUAUAUGUGUGUACUUAUAUAGUUCAGUUAUUUGAAUUAGAAUCCAUAUGAAGUUAUACAAUACGAUUACUUGAUACUGGUUUCUUUUGAUUAUAGAUUUCUUUCUCCUGAUUUUGUUGUUAUUGUGAAAGAAAAUAGAUUGCCCUAUAGAGUUUUCAUAGUCUGGAUUUAGCUGUUAUAUCUUCAUGGUGUAAUUUUAACAUGUUAUUCCGUCAUUGGUAUUUCCUGCAAAUUGACAACUGUGUCCAGAAGCUUGUCAGAUUCAGUUUCAUUUUGAGAAAUCUAUUUCAAUAGUAGUGAAU